AAAGCACAAACACACGCCGUGUGUGUGUGUAUGUGUGUGUGUAUAUAUAUAUAUAUAUAUAUAUAUAUAUAUAUAUAUAUAUAUAUACACACACACACUGCUGUGUGUGUGUGUCUG
Molecule: non-coding RNA, 117 nt
Organism: Pelobates cultripes (western spadefoot toad)
Lineage: Eukaryota; Metazoa; Chordata; Amphibia; Anura; Pelobatidae
Source: the annotation of a GenBank genome assembly